RNAcentral lists this transfer RNA (73 nucleotides) under Lachnospiraceae bacterium. RNAcentral describes it as "tRNA-Thr". It matches the Rfam family "tRNA". From Rfam's summary of the family: Transfer RNA (tRNA) molecules are approximately 80 nucleotides in length. The record is from RNAcentral. Lineage: Bacteria; Bacillati; Bacillota; Clostridia; Lachnospirales; Lachnospiraceae. RNAcentral also lists the same sequence under 1 other name.
GCUCUCGUAACUCAGCAGGUAGAGUACUUCCUUGGUAAGGAAGAAGUCGGCAGUUCGAGUCUGCUCGAGAGCU